RNAcentral lists this transfer RNA (63 nucleotides) under Cordylochernes scorpioides. RNAcentral describes it as "tRNA-Ser". It matches the Rfam family "tRNA". From Rfam's summary of the family: Transfer RNA (tRNA) molecules are approximately 80 nucleotides in length. The record is from RNAcentral. Lineage: Eukaryota; Metazoa; Arthropoda; Arachnida; Pseudoscorpiones; Chernetidae.
GCAUUGGUGGUUCAGUGGUAGAAUGCUCGCCUGCCACGCGGGGUUCGAUUCCCGGCCGAUGCA